This 1298-nucleotide long non-coding RNA is filed under the name Phocoena sinus (vaquita). RNAcentral describes it as "lncRNA (ENSPSNG00000014298.1)". The record is from RNAcentral. Lineage: Eukaryota; Metazoa; Chordata; Mammalia; Artiodactyla; Phocoenidae.
GGAUCUCCUCCUGCCUGACUGCCUUGAACUGAGACAUCCAUCUCUUCCUGCCUUUGGACUCAAACUGAAACAUCGUCUCUGCUUGGGUCUCGAGCCUGCAGGCGUUCUGACUGGAGCUCACACCACCAGCUCCCCUGGGUCUGCAGCCUGCCAAAUGUGGAUCUUGAGACUCUCCAGCCUCCAUCAGCACACAAGCCAAUUCCUUACAAUAAAUGUCUCCUAUUGGUUCUGUGUCUCUGGAGGACCUUGACUAAUACACUCAGUGUGUGACACAAAGUAGGUAUUUGAAUGUUUGCCAAACCUGGAUUUGAAUCCAUGGGGAGUUGACAAGCCCUUCAAGGCUUUGAAGGAAGUAUGGUGGCAUAUCAUGAUGGAUGAUUUAGGAGUCUAAGCAGCUUAGCAGCGUGGGAUGGAGGGUCAAGUGUUGACGGGGUGGGUGUGGGAGCAGAGCCCAGUCUGUCAUCUCCCUCCACCAAGGAUGGUUCCUGGAGGCAGGAUGAACACUGGGACCUACCCUUUAACCCGGGUGACGCCAUCAGGCACACAGUUCACCAGCCCAGAGAGAAUCCAUGGAGUUUCAUGGAACCUCUUGGUAAAACUGGGUUCUAGUCUUUACCUACCACUUGGUAGAACCAGGGCAGGUUGACUUAAGAAUCCUGGGAGUCAGGGAAGUUACGUGUAAAGUGGUGAUGAUUCUGCACUUACUGCACCUGUCAUAAUAAUGCAGCGGUCUUUGUAAGGAUCAGAAGAAGGUGUGAAAGGUCUUUAUAAGCCACUAGGCCCUAUAAAAAUGUAACCUAUGACUAUUCUUGUUCUAACAGAAACAAAGGAGCUGGUCUGCAUUAAUCAUGAAGAAACAAAAAUCAGAACAAAUUGAUGAGGUGUCUGAGAAUAAACCACUGGCAGAGUUUCUCAGAGCACUGAGAGGGACCUUCUGGCCCAGGGUCACCAGCAGUGCUGACUGCUGAGCCACUUCAGAGGACCAAAGCAGGACCCCUGGGAGGAGUGAUGAGUUAACCCUAAAGUUUGGCAUCUCUCAGCUCUGCCCUUUCAAGGGAAUGCAGUGCUCCUGGAUGUGCCAGUGAGGGUGAAACCGGUAUUCUACGCUGAUCUUUGGGAAGGAAAGGAAAACAAGGGUAUUUACUGUGAAGCAUUAAAAAAUUAGAUCCAAAGCAUGAAACUAAAGCAAAAUGUGUAAACAGCCACCUCUCCAUGAAAUAGCUCUAUUUUACAGAACGUAUCAUUCUGUAUUUGUAGAGGAUCAAUGUAGGUUGAUAACUAAAAUAAAUACCAAGCUU